This 454-nucleotide ribosomal RNA is filed under the name uncultured organism. Its description in RNAcentral is "partial 16S ribosomal RNA". It matches the Rfam family "Bacterial small subunit ribosomal RNA", at positions 330 to 800 of the family's 1533-position model. The record is from RNAcentral.
CGUACACUCCUACGGGAGGCAGCAGUGGGGAAUAUUGGACAAUGGGCGCAAGCCUGAUCCAGCCAUGCCGCGUGAGUGAUGAAGGCCCUAGGGUUGUAAAGCUCUUUCACCGGUGAAGAUAAUGACGGUAACCGGAGAAGAAGCCCCGGCUAACUUCGUGCCAGCAGCCGCGGUAAUACGAAGGGGGCUAGCGUUGUUCGGAUUUACUGGGCGUAAAGCGCACGUAGGCGGACUAUUAAGUCAGGGGUGAAAUCCCGGGGCUCAACCCCGGAACUGCCUUUGAUACUGGUAGUCUUGAGUUCGAGAGAGGUGAGUGGAAUUCCGAGUGUAGAGGUGAAAUUCGUAGAUAUUCGGAGGAACACCAGUGGCGAAGGCGGCUCACUGGCUCGAUACUGACGCUGAGGUGCGAAAGCGUGGGGAGCAAACAGGAUUAGAUACCCGUGUAGUCCCAUGA